UGGGGAAUAUUGGACAAUGGGCGCAAGCCUGAUCCAGCCAUGCCGCGUGAGUGAUGAAGGCCCUAGGGUUGUAAAGCUCUUUCACCGGUGAAGAUAAUGACGGUAACCGGAGAAGAAGCCCCGGCUAACUUCGUGCCAGCAGCCGCGGUAAUACGAAGGGGGCUAGCGUUGUUCGGAAUUACUGGGCGUAAAGCGCACGUAGGCGGAUUGUUAAGUGAGGGGUGAAAUCCCAGGGCUCAACCCUGGAACUGCCUCUCAUACUGGCAAUCUAGAGUUCGAGAGAGGUGAGUGGAAUUCCGAGUGUAGAGGUGAAAUUCGUAGAUAUUCGGAGGAACACCAGUGGCGAAGGCGGCUCACUGGCUCGAUACUGACGCUGAGGUGCGAAAGCGUGGGGAGCAAACAGGAUUAGAUACCCCCGUAGUCC
RNAcentral lists this ribosomal RNA (424 nucleotides) under uncultured bacterium. RNAcentral's name for it is "bacterial SSU rRNA". It matches the Rfam family "Bacterial small subunit ribosomal RNA", at positions 355 to 796 of the family's 1533-position model. The record is from RNAcentral.